UAAAAAACCACAAAACCAACGCAAGAGCAAUAAAUUUAUAUUUUUGUCGGGGAGCGGGGUACCUCGCUUGUUCGGCACGUGCGGGCUGUUUGGGAUUUUUGUGGAGUGAAGGAGGAUUGAGAUGACGGUGGAUAUGGAGGGGGUCUGACUUCAGGUGCGGAGGGCUGGUGAAACUCGCCUUAAACCUGCGAAACAACCAAAAAGAUGUCAAAGGUGGAGCCGGGGGUGGCCGGCGACCACACUCCGACGCUCAAGUCAGAGUUGGGUUAUCUCAGGUUAGAGAGCUUGCAAGCUCUCGGUAAUGGAGAUUUUGAGGUUGAAGAAACCUUCGUUUUUUCUGGUGAGUGUGUUCCCUCCCUUGAUAAAAAUUAAACCUGAGUAUUUAUAUGGUGUACCCCGGUCGCCGUGCCACCUGGCGCUAUUUUAGUGGCGUUCCCUGCUGUCAUGUCAGGAAUAUUCUUAUUUUCAUGCGUAUGGCGGCUUAGACGUUUCAAAAAUAUCAGUGGAGAGCAAGUUUGUGGCGUAUUCACGUUCUGGGCGUAGUGGAGUGGUCCCGCGUACCUGUGCAAUUCCGUUGUAAUUUUGCAGGCGUAGCAGGAAAAGCUGGUGGUCCCAACUGUCAUAAUAUCACACUUUUGACGGAUUCGCUGGCGUGACAGGCGGUUAUCUCCUCUUUUGCGGCACAAGAUUUCCUUAUUUUUCGACACGUAUCAAACCGAUCUUUUUGAGAUUCCGGGCCCACAUAUCCCUUCACAUAUUUACAAAGAUUUUUAUAUCCUUUUAUGGUCUACCCGAGGUACUGAGUUUUGUGGGGUAGGUUAGGUACCCCGGGUGCCGAACUAAUGGUGUAGGUCGGGUACCUCGAGUACCGAGUUUAUAGUGUAGGUCUGGUAUCUCGAGUAUCCCGGGUACCAAAUUUUAUGGGGUAGGUUGGGUAUCCCGGAGAUAACUAAUAAUUACAUAACCUUUGCAUCGACACGUGGCGCUUCAUUUUCAAUACUCUAUUUAUCCCCAAACAACAUCCCCCUAGUUUCUUUGUGGCGAAUGUAAUUGAGGCAAAAGAAACUCAUAGAAGAAUUAUGAACGACACGUGGCAAUGUUCAGCUCUUCCUCUCACAGGAUUGGAUAAAAAGAGGUACCUCGUCUACCACCCUUUGGUUGACUAUGUGAAUUCCCAAAAUCAAAUAAUUUCUUGAUAUUUUUUAUCUUCUUUCUUUCUCCUUUAUUAUUAUUAUUUUUCAUUUUAGCCCAAUAAACGGAGGCUCUUUGAAUGGCUCGGGUACUACUCCUUCAAUGAGGUGUACUCAGCCUCCUCACUUUUUGGGGUGUGAACUAAUUCACCCAAAAACUCAAAUUUUACUUCCUCUCUUACUCAGUAAAAUUGCUUGUGCAGAUGGACCCAGCUGAAAAAUAGCGGCUCUAGGGGCACACCGGGUACCCCAAAAAGAAAGAUGGACUCCCUUUUCUCUAUGCCUUAUAAAUAGCUAUCAAAUUUGGAUAAGUUAGAGAGGGCGGAAUUGAUUGAUCAAAAAUUUUCAUCUGCUUAUGGGGACGAACCACCAAGUAUGUGUAGAGGAUGAUGUAGGGGUACCCCACCAUCACCUAUAUUUUGUUUUCUAGUAAUUAGCAAGUAUAGAUCGCUCCGGUGAGUACUUCAAUGCCUUUCUUGGCCUUUUGAGAACCAAUUCGUCAGUUACCUCAAGAUCCAUCUCAUUUAAGGGCACAUUUCCUCUACAUGCUCCAGGGACGAAAAUAAAAUCCCAAGGCUCCUUUCCUAGUAGCUUUAGGAGUAGCCCAGGUGCAAAAAAAGAAAGAUGUGCUUCGACCCCGUGAAAUGAAGCUCUUUAGAUUGAACAAGAUUUUGAAUGGAAGCUUUGAUGAAGUUUUUGGGGAGAAGAUCAGGGCUUCCCACAUAUCGCGAUCUGAAAGCCAUGGAGAUCAGCUGGGGUACCUCAGCCAAAGUCGCCAUCAAGUAUCUCUGAUAUCAAUGCUUGCGCUUUUGCUGCUUUUGGCACUUUUGUUGAUCCCCCUAUCCUGAGGGAUGAAGGUGAAGAUGACCAACCUUAUUUUGUUGGGGUACCCGAACUACUUCAAUAUUAUACUAACAAACUCCUGGUACUUUAUUUCACAUAGCUUUAGAUGCCACUACUUGACUUGGCGGCCUUUUUAGGAUCUUUUGUGUACCUUUCAUGUGUUCUGAAAUCUGAUUCUGAGCAUGGGGUAUCUCAGGUAUCCAUCAGCAUAAAUAUUCAUUGAGCUAUCUCUUUCUUCAUAGCGAAGUAACCCAAUUUCAUCGAACAUAUGGCAAUUCAUCCAGAUAUGCUUGUUGUUAGUCUUUAAGAGAUUAUGGCGAUUCUUAACAUCUUUCUUGAUCCUCUUUUUUUUUUUUUUUUUGCUUGGUGUUGGGUAGGUAUGAACCCUUUCGCCGAAGACUUCGAUGCUUUUUUCAGUCGCAUAAGCGGCAGCCUCCUCCGGUACACUAGGUACCUCAGCAAAGGGUGAUCGACCUCUCGCCGUUCCAAGCGCCAAAGGCAAAUUGCCCGAUUCCUCUUUUGGUAGUUCUCGGGGUACCCCGGCUACCCACAAGAGAAAGCUUGGCUCUCUAUUCACGGUCUCUGGAGAUCUCAUGGAGGGCGAGCUUGACCUAGUGGCAAACAAGAGCAUAUCUCAUCUCACCGAUUGCUUCCUCCACUCCUCCGAGUGCAUUUAUACAGACAUGACUAUUGAGGCGGAUAGAUUGGACCUAAAUGAGCGCUAUAGCCGGGUGCUCAAGGAUUGUCAUGACAUGAGUGCUUCCUCUUUUUUUUUGUAGGCGACCUUCUACCUUAGCCACAGUCUCUGAGACUUUAGUGGUACCUCGGCUACGCUAGCGGAGGCAGAUAAAUUACAAGGGGAGAUCAGACUUGGUCAGUCUCGGAAGGAGAAGCUUGAGGUGGAGGUCAGGGCUUUACAGGGGCGUAUAGACGACCAAAUCCAGGAGAACACCUAGAGUUGGUGGUACCCCGGGUAGAGAAAUGGGUGGACAAGUCGGCCAUCCUGAAGGCAAUAGAGGAUAAGAGGGUAACCCAGGCUCCACCAUCCUACAGCCCACAGCAAUCUUUGGGGGUACCCCAGGCAGAUCUCCCUUCGGUUAGCGCUGUUCAUGCGGGUAGCAGCUCUUUGACCGCGAGUAUUCUUGUUGAUCCCCCUGUUGAAGGGAACGGUGGAGAGGAUGUCCCCCCUUCUGCUUGAUCUUACUUGCCAUUUAGGGUUUUAUCUCGAGAUGUCUUAGCAGCUUUCUUUCUUUGCUUAUGUACCUUUGUAGUAUGGCAUCAUCCUUUUGUUGUGUUGGGAUACUUGUCUUUAGGAAGGUUGCCUCGGCAAUCUUGCUACUUAUUCGCAUUAAACUUCUGCAAUAGACUUUAUUCGGCAUACCAUUGAAUUCAUUGCUUAUAAUUGAUUUGUGUAGACUCGCGGGGGUUCCUCGGGUACCCCAGGUACCUCCCUGAUGUAUUUUUGGCGCUUGCGUGGUGAUUUCCGUAGAUGUGCUCACUGCUCAUCUUAAUAAAGAUUAUGGCGUAUCUCAAAAUAAUUUAAUAAUUCGCACAUCAUCAUAAGAUAAAAAGACAUUUAUAUUUGGCGCAACUAGGAUAAAAUAAAGAUUAUGGGGUAUCUCAGAUAGACUUGUGGAGUUUCUCGGGUACCCUAGGUACCCUCUUUUUUUUGGGGACCUUCUUAGCCCCCUUUUUUACAGAAAUGGUCAAAAACAUGCUUGUUUUGCCAUCCGCUUGUAGUCAAUAUUUAAUAAAAUAAUGCGAAUAGAGGGGCAUGCUUGCCUACCUCGUUUCGUUUAUUUAUUCUUUACUUGGCUCAAGUAAAAGAUUGGAGGUGUGGGCGUGUGCAUACCUUAACGGAACCUCAUGGCGCUAGGGUAUGCUGGUUUACCUCGCCCUCGGGCCUUCUCUGACCCUCCCUCUUUAAAUUUGUUGUAUUAUUUCUUAUUGGCGUUGACCUCGAACAAAUCUUCACAAUCGAAUCGAGUCAGAUACCUCAGGUUCCCCUGAUUAUCUUGAAAUGGAGCAAUUAUAGCUGAAUAAGACGUGGCGUAAUAAGAUGGAGUCACAUUAAUGGUGAAAAUUUAACUGCAAUCAUAUUCGGUAAUCAAAAAGGAGAAUACACAUCAUCUCAUAAAGUAAAAAACAUACUUAUAAACGAUAGAACCAAGAUCAUUACAUGAUAAUGUUCUGUUAUCUUAAAGAAAUGGGGGAUCUUGAGAUCACCCUUGUCAUUAGAGACUUGGAGAAUUGAAAAGUGCAACUAAUCAGUUUGGGGUACUCUAGGUACCCUGCAUGAUAAAGUACACCACACAAUAGAUCAAAUAUUAUAAAUGCAUAAGCAUUGAAGAAAAAUAAAUAAAGUAAAUAAAAAGAGGUAAAGUGUUUCCCGUUAUUAGUAGUACUUCCUCGAUAUGGUAGCAUUUCACAAGUGCUUUAUAAUUGUUCUUUUCAUUUAGAGUAGCAUGUGUGCUCAUUCCUUUUCUUUCUUCGGCACCCGAGGAUCCAGGGGUACCUCUAACUCUUCGAUUAACGCUGAAUUAAGACUUUGGAGUACCUCGGGUACAUCAUGCAUAACCGUAUCUACCUUCAUUGGCCCUACUCUUUUUUGUUUUAGAGGACUAGUUGUCUAUAACACUUUCCACCGCGUAGCUCUUCAUUGUAUUGCAAGCGCCUAAUUAGUAAGGCGAUUAAAUGUCAUUGCACUGCUGGGGUACGCGGGGUACACCAGGAAUAUUCAGCUCUUUCACACAUGGGGUUGGACAAGGUGGGCUGUGUACCCGGGGUGCUUAAGAGAGUACCGGAGGUACCUCAGCUCUCUUGGGUUUCUCUUUGUUUCUCACAACUUCGACUCUAUCUUCCUCCCGCUUUAGGUUACACUUCUCAUCAAUUUCUAUUUGUUGCAGGGCUCGAGAACGAGCUUCCCCAUAUGAAAGAGGGCGGUGUUUUUGAAAUGACUGCCAUAACUUCCCCAAACGCAAAUUCUUUUCAAAAUGAGUAAGAGUAUGUUGGUGACCAAACGUACCGGUACGUAACACCUCUUGGUGGAAGCGGGUUACGUACUCGGCUAAAGACUCCGAAUCCCCUUGCUUGAUGAAAGCAAGCUUGGAGGAUGUUAUAUCUUGGGCGGAUGCAUAACCAAACUCAUGAACAAAAGCUUUUAGGAGCUGGUCUAAGGAGGAUACACUACCUGCCUUCAAUAAUCGAAACCAUGAUUUGGCUGGUCCGGUGAGGGUAUGCGGUAACAUCCGUCACAUAACAUUGUCACCCACUCCUUUAAUCAUCAUCUGGUCACGAUACAACUCAGCAUGUUCCACGGGAUCCGAGGUACCUGAGUAUUGUUGUAUUUGAGGUAUGGUGAACGCUUUUGGGAGAACCGCUGUCCGAAUCUCCAUGGUGAAUGGCGAGUUAUGCACUACUGGUGCUAGAGCAUUGGUGGGGUUUUGUUUUUCAAAAAAGAGCUUCACCUGAGCUUCGAGGUACUCCAUUUUUUUCUAGUAACUCAUGGGGUACCCCAGGUACACCUAAGGAUGCAGCCGUUGUUUGGGAAGUUCUUUUGGCAUUCAACUUAUACCGGAGAUCUUCAUGGGCUUUUUGUUUACGUUUGGUACCCUGGCUGCUACGGGAAUAGCAAGAGGCAGUGGAGCGUUCUUCCCGGGAGCCGGCGGCUUGAAACUUUGAACGGGUGCCCGAUGGCCCAUGCUUUGGUCUACUUCCCUCCGGUAUUUCAGAUCUUGGUAUGAUCUGUUUUUCACCGCGUGGAGGCGGGACAUCUUGAGUUACCAGGGAAGUGGCUGCUUUGGGUACCCGAGAUCCUACUGCUCUGAGAAUCGCAUGAGCUAAAUCCUCAAAGUGUUUAUGAGUAACGGGCUCCUCGUCGGGUUGAAUACCAGUUGAUUGCUUAACUGAUUUGCCUUUCUCUAGGCGGGAUGCCCUCCUUGUCGAGUCACCCCUCUCAUCACCGCCGUGGUCCUCUUCUCCAUAAUGACCUAGCAUUUGGUUAUCAACAGGUACGUCGGGUGCCAUGGCUGUGCAAGCACACGUACCGACAAGCUUAGCACCGUGUGAAAGCUUUUUGCUCGUGUCCCCACAGACAGCGCCAAUUGUUUUCGGCUGAUUUUGGGUUAAUGAAUAAAAAACCACAAAACCAACGCAAGAGCAAUAAAUUUAUAUUUUUGUCGGGGAGCGGGGUACCUCGCUUGUUCGGCACGUGCGGGCUGUUUGGGAUUUUUGUGGAGUGAAGGAGGAUUGAGAUGACGGUGGAUAUGGAGGGGGUCUGACUUCAGGUGCGGAGGGCUGGUGAAACUCGCCUUAAACCUGCGAAACAACCAAAAAGAUGUCAAAGGUGGAGCCGGGGGUGGCCGGCGACCACACUCCGACGCUCAAGUCAGAGUUGGGUUAUCUCAGGUUAGAGAGCUUGCAAGCUCUCGGUAAUGGAGAUUUUGAGGUUGAAGAAACCUUCGUUUUUUCUGGUGAGUGUGUUCCC
Molecule: long non-coding RNA, 6519 nt
Filed under: Citrus sinensis (sweet orange)
Lineage: Eukaryota; Viridiplantae; Streptophyta; Magnoliopsida; Sapindales; Rutaceae
Description: long non-coding RNA (CSIN_LNC000683)
Source: RNAcentral